RNAcentral lists this ribosomal RNA (424 nucleotides) under uncultured prokaryote. RNAcentral describes it as "bacterial SSU rRNA". It matches the Rfam family "Bacterial small subunit ribosomal RNA", at positions 355 to 796 of the family's 1533-position model. The record is from RNAcentral.
UGGGGAAUAUUGGACAAUGGGCGCAAGCCUGAUCCAGCCAUGCCGCGUGAGUGAUGAAGGCCCUAGGGUUGUAAAGCUCUUUUACCCGCGAAGAUAAUGACGGUAGCGGGAGAAUAAGCUCCGGCUAACUCCGUGCCAGCAGCCGCGGUAAUACGGAGGAUGCAAGCGUUAUUCGGAAUUAUUGGGCGUAAAGCGUCCGCAGGUGGUGCCUCAAGUCUGCUGUCAAAGACCGAAGCUCAACUUCGGGCAGGCAGUGGAAACUGAAGCACUAGAGUACGGUAGGGGUAGAGGGAAUUUCCAGUGUAGCGGUGAAAUGCGUAGAGAUUGGAAAGAACACCAGUGGCGAAGGCGCUCUACUGGACCGUAACUGACACUCAGGGACGAAAGCUAGGGGAGCGAAAGGGAUUAGAUACCCCCGUAGUCC